AGAUAACUUAUUGACUUAAUUUUUCCUGAUCUACUUUGCAUGUCUUGACAAUGAAUAUGAAUUGCUUGAAACAUAACAAUUUCUUAAAGUAACUUUUUUGAUAGAAAAACUUCAUAUCAAUAGCUUUAGUUAGAAAUGUAAUCGUUUUAUUCGGUGUGGACUGCUGACCACUGAUAUUUAGAAACCAUUCAAACACAUAAAAGAAAGGUCAACACUCUAUAUAUGCUUCCUUCGUCGGAGGAAUAGUUAUCUCUUUCACUUUCUAUUACAAUGUUCUUUUUUAUACAAUUAGAUAUUUAAAAAAAGAAAGAAAAAGAAAUGGAAAUAAAAGGUCAAUUCAAAACUUCAUUAUUGUACUAAACAAAAAUAUAUGAAUGGGUUUAAAUAAAUGCUUUAUAAAGUUUAUACAAAGACUAACUUUUUAAAAGGCAAUAUAUUUCAAGGGACAGUGAUUCUGUCAAAACAACAAUAAACCACCUUUUUUGAUUUAGUGAAUAAGGAUUUGAAAAUAUAUUUGGAAUAAGGAUGUAACGUUUUCCAAAACGUGGUUAAGAUAUUGUUAAACAUUUCACACUUCGUACACAUGCUUUAUAUAUAUAUCUAUAUUUGUUUAUGAACCAGAUGAAGGAGUUUCUCGCUGUAUUAAAGACCUAUUGGUGACCUACUGCUGUUGUCUGUUCUAUUGUCGGGUUGUUGUCUCUUUGACACAUUCCCCAUUUCCAUACUCAAUUAUAUUUGUAUUUUUUUUCAUAUUCAAGAUUCAUUUACUUAGAAAAAUAUCAUUAUAAAACAAAUGGCUAUUUAUAACAAUGACUUUUGAUGCUUAGUACAACAAAGUUUCACUAUUUUGUAUUUUGAUAACAGAAAAGGUACAAACCGGAUGCAUGUCUUUACAAUAACAGCUUUAUUUGAAAAUGUAUUAAUAAAAACUGUUGAAUCAGCUGUUGAAUCGAAUUAAAAAAGUAGUCCUAGUAAGGUCUUUUUUUCAAUUUACAUCCAUAUUAACAACAAUGAACUAUUAUAUGUCUUAAGAAAGCUAUACCCUAUUAGGAUAAAGAAAUUCAUAACUAUAUGUCAGUUUUGACUAUUAACUCAUAAUCCUGUAAUAACCCAUUUUACGGAAAUAACGUCCUUAAUUUAAUCUGUUUUGUUUUUAUUAUUAUGGUGUUUUAUGCUAGGGUAUAUUGAUAUAUGCAAUAGAUGUAAUAUAAAUGUAUUUAAAUCUGUGUUUUACAGUCGCUCUUAAUUCUUUUUAUAGUGGCUCUUUUAUUAAUUGAAGACUCUUAUAAAUUAUUUGUUGUUGUUUUGUUUUGUCUUUCUUUUUACAUGUGAAAGCGAACACAAUUGAAAUGUUUUUCUUCUAUCAAUGACUGACCACUGCCAUUUGGUUGAAGGUAAUUAUGUCAUCUUGUUCAUGUGCUGUAAUUGCACUGUAAUUUUAUAAAACGAAUAGUACAUAUUUUAAUGAUCAUGCUAAAACGCAUAUUAUACUAUUAUAUUCGUUUUAGACUUAUACCUCAAAUUUGACACAAUCGGUCAUUCCUGUACCAGAAUGUAUGACCAACGAGACAAACAACUUCUCCACCUUCGGAGCAACGCGCUAACUUCACCUGUAUAUAGGAUAUACAUAUCCCAACUCAUUUGGUGUUUUAAAGCAGUUGCUUCUCAGACUUUAUUUAAGGGUACCAGUGCCGGAGCUGAAGUUAAAGAACCAGGAUUAUGUCAAAAAACGCUUCAACCUUUUUCUUAAAACGUUCCUUGGAAGAUAUCAAGAUCGUGUCAAUGAAUAUUCGGUAUCAUCUUCAAAACUAAUACAUGAUGAUCCUGAAGUAUAGAUUCUAGGUGUUGAUAUGAUUUUUUUUACUUAAUCGCGUGUUAUAGCGUUCUUUCAUAUGGUCCUUGUAUAUAUUAUCA
Molecule: long non-coding RNA, 1914 nt
Filed under: Mytilus galloprovincialis (Mediterranean mussel)
Lineage: Eukaryota; Metazoa; Mollusca; Bivalvia; Mytilida; Mytilidae
Source: RNAcentral